GACGAACGCUGGCGGCGUGCCUAAUACAUGCAAGUAGAACGCACGGUUUAUACCGUAGCUUGCUACACCAUAGACUGUGAGUUGCGAACGGGUGAGUAACGCGUAGGUAACCUGCCUGGUAGCGGGGGAUAACUAUUGGAAACGAUAGCUAAUACCGCAUAAUAUUAAUUAUUGCAUGAUAAUUGAUUGAAAGAUGCAACUGCAUCACUACCAGAUGGACCUGCGUUGUAUUAGCUAGUAGGUGAGGUAACGGCUCACCUAGGCGACGAUACAUAGCCGACCUGAGAGGGUGAUCGGCCACACUGGGACUGAGACACGGCCCAGACUCCUACGGGAGGCAGCAGUAGGGAAUCUUCGGCAAUGGACGAAAGUCUGACCGAGCAACGCCGCGUGAGUGAAGAAGGUUUUCGGAUCGUAAAGCUCUGUUGUAAGAGAAGAACGGGUGUGAGAGUGGAAAGUUCACACUGUGACGGUAUCUUACCAGAAAGGGACGGCUAACUACGU
This 504-nucleotide ribosomal RNA is filed under the name uncultured bacterium. RNAcentral describes it as "partial 16S ribosomal RNA". It matches the Rfam family "Bacterial small subunit ribosomal RNA", at positions 28 to 506 of the family's 1533-position model. The record is from RNAcentral.